GCCUUUAUGGUGUAGUGGUCAACACGCUUGGCGUAUAUUCUAGAGGUCCGUGGUUCGAGUCCCGGCGAGGGUU
This 73-nucleotide transfer RNA is filed under the name Stegodyphus mimosarum. It matches the Rfam family "tRNA". From Rfam's summary of the family: Transfer RNA (tRNA) molecules are approximately 80 nucleotides in length. Their secondary structure includes four short double-helical elements and three loops (D, anti-codon, and T loops). Lineage: Eukaryota; Metazoa; Arthropoda; Arachnida; Araneae; Eresidae. The record is from Rfam by way of RNAcentral.